CUAAGGGGCGGGAUUUGGGGGAAACACAACUCCCGGGUGUCUCAGGCGAAGGGCUUCCCUGGCUGAAGCUGGGAGGGGGACCUCGCUACCUUUUUGCUGUUCCCCCCGCAGACCUGUAGGCAGGAGAGUUCACCUGGGAGAAAUGAAGCUUGGGAGAUCCCAGCCCAGGAGCUCCUGGAGAGCGGGCGGGCUGGAUGGUGUUCAAGCCCAACCCGACAAGCGUCUUUCUUUCUAUGUGGUUUCAGAGUCCAAAGCCUCCAGAAGCAGGUGUUUGGCAAGUUGGUACACAGGUAUUGGUGUGAAAUUCUGGGAGCCUGAAUCACCCAUUCUUCUGAUGGUAAUAGGUGUGAUGCUAUAAUAAAAAGCCUGCCCAGAUAUAUCCCCCAACUCUAACCCUUGGCUUCUAGUUUUGUUGUCUGAGGUAAGGAUGGGGUGGAGAAAAACUUAGGGAGAGAGAAGUAGUCUAUCCUCUUGUUAGGGAGUGAAGAUGGAACCCCCAUGGGUCCCAACUACUAUCUGGUAAGAAAUGUGGCUGCUGAGCCUCGGGCUGCACUUCAUCCCACCAUCCCUUCCCAUCUCCGGAACUCUUCCAAGGGCAGGAUCUGACUACAAAGCUUCAGCACUUUAUGAGGAACAAGGUAUAUGCAUAUGUGAGAAGUCAUUUUAUUCUCUAUGGGUUUUGGUUCUCCUAUAUGUUAAAGAAUUUGACCAGAUGAUCUGGGCUUCAACACAGGGACUCUAUUGACUCUGGUUCCAGGGAAGGUUCUUGGGCCUUGGCCAACUGGUCCUGUCUCCUUUCUUCUGCAGAAUGGACAAGAGCUAUUCAGUUUCAGAAUUAGGAUUAAAUGAUUCCACAUGACUUAUCUUGCCUAUUAAUUAUUUCUGACCUCAUAACCCCCUUCUCCUUCCUAGUAGAGGAGGAAAUAGAGAGCAGUGUUUGUGCUACUAUCAUUUAUCCAUUUAAAAAUUGGUUGGAAAAAAAAAUUGGUUGGAAUCUACUGUGUACCAAUUCCCAUGUUAAGCCCUGGGGAUCAACAGUACAUUAGACACAGUCUUUGACCUUACAGAAAGGAUAGUUGAUUAGUGUGGACCAGACCAGGAAACAGGACAGGCUUUAUAAGUUGGCAGAGGUGGCACUUUCACAAAAUCACAAGAAGGCCUCUUUUUGUUGUUUGUUUUGUUCCUUUUUUAAAAAAAUUUUAUUUAUUU
Molecule: long non-coding RNA, 1209 nt
Organism: Canis lupus familiaris (dog)
Lineage: Eukaryota; Metazoa; Chordata; Mammalia; Carnivora; Canidae
Exons: 3
Source: RefSeq, a predicted model, not a curated record